Sus scrofa (pig) is the source of this 73-nucleotide non-coding RNA. The record is from Rfam. Lineage: Eukaryota; Metazoa; Chordata; Mammalia; Artiodactyla; Suidae.
UCCCUGGUGGUCUAGCAGUUAAGGAUCUGGCACUGUCACUGCUGUGGCACAGGUUCCAGCCCUGGCCCGGGAA